AGCAGCCGCGGUAAUUCCAGCUCCAAUAGCGUAUAUUAAAGUUGUUGCAGUUAAAAAGCUCGUAGUUGAAUUUCGAGAUCAGUACGCUGGUCGUGCCUUCGGUAUGCACUGGUGUCACUGGUUUCUCCCUUCUGAAGAACCGUCAUGCCAUUCAGUUGGUGUGGCGGGGAAUCAGGACUGUUACUUUGAAAAAAUUAGAGUGUUUAAAGCAGGCUCGCGCUUGAAUACAUUAGCAUGGAAUAAUGAAAUAGGACGUUUGACCCUAUUUUGUUGGUUUCUAGGAUCGACGUAAUGAUUAAUAGGGAUAGUUGGGGGCAUUAGUAUUCAAUUGUCAGAGGUGAAAUUCUUGGAUUUAUUGAAGACUAACUACUGCGAAAGCAUUUGCCAAGGAUGUUUUCAUUAAUCAAGAACGAAAGUUAGGGGAUCGAAGACGAUCAGAUACCGCCGUAGUCUUAACCAUAAACUAUGCCGACUAGGGAUCGGAUGAUGU
Molecule: ribosomal RNA, 490 nt
Filed under: uncultured Glomus
Lineage: Eukaryota; Fungi; Glomeromycota; Glomeromycetes; Glomerales; Glomeraceae
Description: SSU rRNA
Rfam family: Eukaryotic small subunit ribosomal RNA
Source: RNAcentral